Molecule: ribosomal RNA, 321 nt
Filed under: Triticum aestivum (bread wheat)
Lineage: Eukaryota; Viridiplantae; Streptophyta; Magnoliopsida; Poales; Poaceae
Description: partial small subunit ribosomal RNA
Source: RNAcentral
AUGGAUAUGGAACACGGAAUGCCAAAAAAAUUAGGUGUACUUGCUGCUCAUGGAGAUGAGGAACCUCCUAAAACCCUCGAUGCUCGUUAUGUGACAGAUAUUAUGUACUACUUUGAUAAUCCAGAGAAAACCCCAUUCAAUUUGGUAAUGGGAGACACGUUGGAUCAACAUGAAUACUUUAAGGAUUAUCGCUUGACUCAAAAAGGGAAACUAUUAUGGGAUCAAAUUUAUAUGUUGAAAUGGUAUGCUAGGCAACUAUGCUUGAGAUAUGAUUAUACUUGUUGCUCUAGGAUGAAGGCUCCACACCUUCCCUUUUUAUGA